CGCAGUGGGGGGGCAGAGGCCUAAUAAGGAGUCAGCUUAGGGCUCAAGUUGCUGCAGGGGGCUGGCCUGGCUCUGGGGGAGGAGCAGGGGGAGGGCACCUUUCCUAGCUGUUCUGCUACCUAUUGCCUGGGCAGUUCAGCUCCAGGGAGCCCUGGCUGGGGCACAGCCCUCCCUGCUGUCCCAUGAAGCCUGAGUGGGAGGUGUGGGAUAAAAAGGGGCUCAGUAAAAAUGUACAGAAAUUGCUGCGCACAGAAGAGGCAGGCAGAGGAAUGAAGGCAAAUGAUUUCCCAGGCCUCUGCAAGAAGGGCACAGGGAAGGGCAGAGCUCUCCGUUUCAGCACAGCAUUUAGGCAGCCUUGUGCACUGGUAAGAAGCCAGACAGGCGACUCCGGGAAAGGGGAUGAGUGAGAAAUGAUGAGACAGAGCAGGCUGAGACUGUGUCUUUCAGCAUCAAUUAGACCAGGGUGGUCAAGCCCUGGCACGUGUGCCACAAGUGCCGUGUGCUGCUGCUGUGCAGGGCAUGCGAGGGCAGGAGCGAAGGAAGCUGGGGGCUGUGGGAGGAGUGUGGUUGGAGCAGGGCUGUAAGUGAGGAGGGGAGAGGAGGAUGGGGUCUGCACUGCCCCUGCUGACCUGCUCAGCUGCCCCACCACAAACUCAGCUCAGCUGGAGGGGCUGGGCAGAAACAGCCCUGCACCGUCUGGGAAGAUGGACUUGAUGCAGGCCGGACACAAUUGCAGAACCUUUUUUUCCUGGGAAAGGAUGACUCAUCCCGAGCUGGAGCAGUGACUCGUCAACAGAGCCAGCAGAAGCACCACAGAGAAAGAGCAGAGAGCCCGGCACAGCGGCUGAGUCCACUGGUCACUAAACUCAGAGAAAGUAAAGAGAGCUUCUGGGUACGGUAUUAUAUGAAAGGCUUGGAGCUGAGCUCAUGGAAGAAUGUCUCCUGACACCUGACUCCUUUUGCAUUCAGGGGAACAGGACCUUGCACUGGCCCCACAUCCUGCUUCUCUUCUAGCUGGAACAGUCUACAACACCCGAAAUUCUUCACUAUCCAGGUCCUGGUCACUAUCUCCCUGGCAACUACCUCCUCCAUUGUCAGACCAGCUGCAUGUAGGCCUUGUUGGAUAGGCUUGAAAAGAAAUGAUGAACCCGCUAAUGGAUGUCAUCAAAGGAAGAGGGAAUGGUCCAGUGGCAUGAAAUAAACAAUGGGAAGAAGUAUUCCAACCUACUAAAGCAGCCUUAUGCCAGGAAGUGGUACUUCACACCCCUGACUUCACGCAGCCUUUCAUAUUCAUAGAAUCAUAGAAGUAGGGUUGGAAGGGACCUUGUAGAUCUUCAAGUCCGACCUCCUGCCUGGGCAGGAGGAAAACUGGGUUCAAUUGACCCCAGUCAGGUAGGCAUCAAGCCGCUUCUUAAAGACCCCCAGGGUAGGAGCCAGCACCACUUCCCUUGGAAGUUGGUUCCAGAUCCUAGCCGCCCUAACUGUGAAGUAGUUCUUACGGAUGUCUAAUCUAAACCUACUCUCCAACAACUUGUGGCCGUUAUUCCUUGCUAUCCCGGGGGGCGCUGGGGGAAACAAGGUUUCUCCCAAACCCUUCUGGUCCCCCCUAGUGAUUUUAUAGAUGGUCACCAGGUCCCCCCUCAGCCUUCUCUUGUGAAGGCUGAACAGGUUCAGGUCCUGUAGCCUCUCAUUGUAGGUUCUGCCCUGCUGUCCCUGGAUCAUGCGGGUGGCCCUCCUCUGGACCCUCUCAACGUUGUCCACAUCCCUCUUGAAGUGGGGUGCCCAGAACUGGACACAGUACUCCAGCUGUGGCCUGACCAGUGUUGCGUAGAGGGGGAGAAUCACCUCCUUGGCCCUACUUGAGAUGCACCUGUGGGUGCAUGAUAGGGUCCAGUUAGCCCUGCCGACCGUGACCUCACAUUGUCGGCCCAUGUUCAUCUUGGAGUCAAUGAUGACUCCAAGAUCCCUUUCUGCCUCCAUGCUCUCAAGAAGGGAGUUUCCCAUCUUAUAAGUGUGCUGCUGGUUACUACUGCCCAAGUGCAGCACCCUGCACUUGUCAGUAUUGAAACGCAUCCUGUUUUUGUUAGCCCACCCCUGCAACCUAUCCAGGUCUUUCUGCAGUCUUUCCCUCCCUACUAAUGUGCCCACCUCACCCCAAAUUUUGGUAUCAUCAGCAAGUUUGAACAAGUUGCUUUUCACCCCGUUGUCCAAAUCGCUGAUAAAGAAAUUGAACAGUGUGGGCCCAAGGACUGAGCCCUGGGGGACUCCGCUGCCCACUUCCCCCCAGGUCGAAUAUGACCCAUCCACCACCACCCUCUGAGUACGACCCUUCAGUCAAUUUGCAAUCCAUCUGACUGUGUAGGUAUCGAUGCCACAGUCGCCUAGUUUUUUAGAUGAGGAUGGGGUGGGAGACAGUGUCAAAGGCCUUGCUGAAGUCCAGAAAGACUACAUCCACGGCGACACCUGCAUCCAAUGCUUUUGUGACCUGAUUGUAAAAGGCAAUCAGGUUGGUCUGACAUGACCUGCCACUAAUGAAACCAUGCUGGUUGCCCUUGAGCAUCAUCCCCGAUGCCAGCCCAUCACAGAUGUGCUCUUUGUUGAUCUUUUCAAAGAGUUUCCCCAGGAUUGAGGUAAGACUGAUGGGCCUAUAGUUGCCCGGGUCCUCCCUCCUCCCUUUUUUAAAGAUGGGGACCACAUUGGCUAUCUUCCAAUCAUCUGGCACCUGGCCUGAGCACCACGAGCGCUUGUAAAGCCAUGCCAAGGGCCCUGCAAUAACCCCUGCUAGCUCCCUCAACAUUACAGGGAGAUGCGUCAGGGGAGGCCACUGGAGCAGUACUCUCCCAGAUGAUUGAGGGCCAGGAGAGACUAAUGGCCUAUGCCACUUCACAGUCAGGGCAGCUAGGAUCUGGAACCAACUUCCAAGAGAAGUGGUGCUUGCUCCUACCCUGGGGGUCUUCAAAAGGAAGCUAGAUAGAUAUCUUGCCGGGGUUGUUUUACCCCAGCGUUCUUUCCUGCCCAGGGCAGGGGGUCGGAUUGAUGAUCUGCUCAGGCCCCUUCCGAUCCUACCUACUAUGAAACUAUGCCAGUAGGAAAUUGAACGAGCAUGAAAGAAGGGAUGCUAGCAUUGAGUAGGAAUAUUUAGCACUCGGAGUAUUGAGUAUUUCUGCUACUACCUAUUGGGUCGAGAAUUUAAACUAAUUACAGACCACACUCCACUGAAAUGGUUACAGUCGACUAAAAUGGCCAAUGCUCAUAUUAUGCAAUUGGCUUUUGCUAUGCAACCUUUCUAAUUUUCUAUCGACUCAGGCCUGGAAAAACAACGUGGUGGCAGACUUUCUCUCUCAGUGCCAAUUAGACGGAGCCUGAACCAGACCUGGUACCUUGUAAGAGAGAAGAAGAGAAGGCAUCAACGCAGCAGGAUCAUAGAGAUGAUGGAGAAACUUGUGACAGAAAGGAAUUUUUCUUCAGUGGGAAUGUGAAGGAGUGAGAGGGUAAACAGCGCCCAGGGUGCCUUACGUGCCGGGCAGUGGAGACUGAGGGAGGAAGAGCAGCCGGCAGUGACAGAGGUGGAAAGUGAAAGUAAACAGGGCCUGCAGCUGAGCAAAUGGGGAGGCUGCAGCUGAAGACUAGAGCGGAGAAGAAGCAGUCACAGCAACACUUCCAGGGCAGCCUCUCACUCAGGAUUGGAGGAGGGAAGCUGCCAGCAGGUAUUUCUGGCCCCCAAGAGGGAAAGAGCGGGUCGAUUCCCUGGAAACUGCUGAGAGGAGUGGCUGAGAGGUCCUGCAAGCAGGUAUUGCUGACCCUGCUGGAGAAACGCUGUGGGAGUGACCAAAAGAAGGAGGCAUGCAGAGGAGGCUUGCCUACACAAGGAUUCUGAUCAGUCCUGAAGCAGAGUAGCGGCUGAGGGUCCGGGAGGGAAGCAAGGAAGACUGCUUUUCUCAUGUUACAGCCUCCCUGGUGGGGCUGUGCUGUGCUUGGGAGAGAGAUCCUACUGGGACUAUAUAUGCUCACCAGUAGACUUGCACGGAUCUGUGCUGAGCAACAAUUCGAUUGACUGGCUUUGCUGGGGGUUUUUUGGGUAUGAGAGAGAGAUCCCCAGGUGAAGGGGAUAUGGACUGAAUCCAAAGAGAGACUGAGAACAGUUGUGUUUCAGGAGUAUUUGAGCUGAGGCUAAGGCCAUCCCCUGGACGGGGUGUGUGUCAGAGAAAGGUGGCAGGUGGCAGAGGGCUGAGCAUUAGCAAUCAGGCUGGAGAGAAACUUUGAAUUUCAUCUGGAUUGGCUAGGGUGGGGUAAAGGGGAGAUUGGACCCCCACAGAACAAGACAGACAUCGAGACCUGAAGGAUAACCUCGAGGUAUUGCUUCCUAUUAACAAAGCAUCAGCAUAGGUGCACAGGUGUAGGGUCGGAAGGAACCUGAGCAGAUCAUCAAGUCUGACCCCCUGCCCUGGGCAGGAAUGAAUACUAGGCUCAUCUGACCCCCAGUAAGUUUAAGCUCAUAUGACCCCAGCUAGGUAAUUAUCAAGCUUCCUUUUAAAGACCCCUAAGGUAGGAGCCAGCACCACUUCCCUUGGAAGCUGGUUCCAGAUCCUGGCUGCCCUGACUGUGAAAUAGUACCUCCUGAUGUCUAGCAAAAAUAUGAGUGUCUCCCUGUCACUUCACUCACCCCACUUCAACCCAGCUGGGACUUGACCUUAGCUCUCCCACAUGGAAGGCAGAAAUCCUGCCACACAGCCACCAGUGAUGGCCACAGGCAGGUGAGAAAAAAUAAGAUCAGUUUCCUGGCAGACCGGGUGAUCUGAGGUUGAGGUCCAUCCUGUUGCUGCCUGUAGGUAAACAAGCUCUCAGCAGUGGUAGUAAGCCCUAUAAUACCUACAGUCAUCCUGGUGAAAAUUAUUUUGUCCAAAUUACUGGUAUCUGGUGGAAGAGAGAGGGAGAGAGGCAAGAAAGUUUUGUGUCUGCCUUGUCACGACAGCUAUUCAUCUUAUAUUGUGUGUGCCCAUGAGGUAAGAGACAGCAUGUUACUGCUGGGGUAUUUUUGUCCAGGGGAGGCAAAAGGGGAGAAUGUUGAACUAAUUAAAUAGGAUAUACAAGGUGUGUGGGUGGUGCAUGUGAUGUGGUACAGUUCGGUGAGGAAAGAGCUGAUGUUUCAUAGAUUCAUAGAUGCUAGGGUCGGAAGGGACCUCAAUAGAUCAUCGAGUCCAACCCCCUGCAUAGGCAGGAAAGAGUGCUGGGUCUAGAUGACCCCAGCUAGAUGCCUAUCUAACCUCCCCUUGAAGACCCCCAGGGUAGGGGAGAGCACCACCUCCCUUGGGAGCCCAUUCCAGACCUUGGCCACUCGAACUGUGAAGAAGUUCUUCAAAUGUCUAGUCUAAAUCUGCUCUCUGCUAGCUUGUGGCCAUUAUUUCUUGUAACCCCCGGGGGCGCCUUGGUGAAUAAAACCUCACCAAUUCCCUUCUGUGCCCCCGUGAUGAACUUAUAGGCAGCCACAAGGUCGCCUCUCAACCUUCUCUUGCGGAGGCUGAAGAGGUCCAGGUGCCCCAGUCUCUCCUCAUAGGGCUUGGCCUGCAAGCCCUUGACCAUACGAGUGGCCCUUCUCUGGACCCUCUCCAGGUUCUCCACAUUCCUCUUGAAGUGUGGCACCCAAAACUGCACGCAGUAUUCCAACUGCAGUCUGACCAGCGCCCGAUAGAGGGGAAGUAUCACCUCCUUGGUUCUGUUCAUCAUGCAUCUGCUGAUGCACAAUAAAGUGCCAUUAGCUUUUCUGAUGGCUUCGUCACACUGACGACUCAUGUUCAUCUUGGAGUCCACCAGCACUCCAAGAUCCCUUUCCACUUCCGUGCCAUCCAGCAGGUCAUUUCCUAGGCAGUAGUUAUGCUGGACAUUUUUCUUCCCUAGGUGCAGCACUUUGCAUUUCUCCUUGUUGAAUUGCAUUCUUUUGUUUUCUGCCCAUAUGUCCAACCUGUCCAGGUCUGCUUGUAGUUGUUCCCUGCCCUCCGGCGAGUCCACUUCACCCCACAGUUUUGUCCACAAACUUGGACAGAGUACACUUCACUCCCUUGUCCAAGUCGCUGAUGAAGAUAUUGAAGAGUAUCGAUCCAAGGACCAAGCUCUGCCGGACCCCACUGCCCACACCCUUCCAGGUCGAUGCUGACCCAUCUGCUACGACUCUCUGGGUGCGACCCUCUAGCCAAUUCGCCACCCACCGGACUGUGUAGUCAUCCAAGUCACAGCCUCUUAACUUGUUUACCAGUAUGGGGUGGGAUACCGUAUCGAAGGCCUUCCUGAAGUCUAAGUAUAUGACAUCAACCCCUACUCCUGCGUCCAAGCGUUUUGUAACCUGGUCAUAAAAAGAGACUAGAUUAGUCAGGCACGAUCUACCUGCUACGAACCCGUGCUGGUUUCCCCUCAGCAUAAUUUCUCCUGCCAGGCUCUCGCAAAUGUGAGCCUUGAUAAUUUUUUCGAAGACUUUGCCAAGGAUGGAGGUGAGACUGACUGGCCUAUAGUUGCCUGGGUCCUCCUUCCUCCCCUUCUUGAAAAUGGGGACCACACUGGCCCUUUUCCAGUCCUCCGGGACCUGGCCCAUGUGCCACGAUUGUUCAAAUAUUACCACCAGUGGCUGCGCAAUGACGUUAGCCAGUGCCUUCAGUACCCUUGGAUGGAGCUCAUCCGGGCCUGCCAACUUAAAGGCAUCCAGUUCUUCCAAGUGACUCUGCACCAUCUCAGGGUCUACGCAUGGCAGUCUGGUGCCUUGUUGCUGCCUCUCUACAAUCCCAGUGAGAGCCUUGUCCUGCCCCUCACUUAGGAACACUGAGGCAAAGAACUCGUUGAGGAGUUCAGCCUUGUCCCCCUGUCCGUCACCAAUUGCUUCUGCCCAUGUCGUAGGGGUCCUAUUCCACCCUGGGCCUUCCUUUUACUCCCUAUAUAUCUAAAAAACAAUUUUUUGUUAUCCUUUACUUGGGAUGCCAUCCUCAGCUCCAUGGUAGCUUUGGCCCGUCUAACUGCCUCUCUACAAGUGCGAGCAGAGGAGGUAUACUCCUCUUUGGUAAUCUCUCCCCGUUUCCAUUUUUUAUAUGCUCCCCUUUUAGUCCACAGGCUGCCCUGGAUUUCUCUGGUCAGCCAAGGAAGCCUCCUGGACCCUUUCCCACUUUUUCCUCGCAUAGGGAUCAUCUCCCUCUGUGCCCGAAGGAUCAUUUCAUUAAGGCACAGCAACCCUUCCUAGGCUCCCAUCUCUUCAAAACUCCUACUCUGCAGUGCAUCCUUGACUAAUCGCCUGAGUUCAUUGAAAUCAGCUUUCCUAAAGUCUAGCACUUUCACCCUACUAGUUACCUUACCCACUCGACGUCUUAUGGUGAAUUCUAUUAUUUGGUGAUCACUGUCCCCCAGGUGACUACCAAUCUGUAAGUCCCCUACCAUAUCAUCUCCCAUUUCCAAUACCAGGUCCAGUAAGGCAUUCCCCCUAGUGGGACCGUUUACCUCCUGCGUCAGGUAUUAAAAGGUGUUUGUUACAUUAUUUUACAGUUCAGGGCAUGGACAAAAGAAACAUCUAUCUUGUUAUCCCUUGGGGAGCUUUGGUGAAUAGCUGUUCUCCCAAGUCCUGAUGUACCCCUAUUAUAUAAUUGUAAGCUGCUACCAAGUCCCCCUGAGCCUUCUCUUUUCCAGACUGAAGUCCCAAGUCCCUCAGCCUCUCCUUGUAUGGAUCACCCUCCAGGCCUUGGAUCAUAUGAGUCACUCACCUCUGGACUCUCUCAAGCUUCUCCACAUCCCUCCUGAAGUAGGGGGGCCCAAAACUGGAUACAGUACUCCAGCUGCGGGCUCACCAAGGCCAAGUAAAGUGGGAGGAUGACAUCCCUGGUUUUGCUUGCGAUGCAUUGGUAGAUGCACGCCAGAGUUUAUUUUGCUUUGCCAGCCACAUCAUUGCAUUGGUGACUCAUAUUAAUCUUGUGGUCAAUCAGGACCCCCAAGUCUCUUUCAGUCAUGGUGCUAGUGAGCGUAGCACUGCUGAGCUUGUAAGUAUGUUGAGGGUGCUUCCUACCGAGGUGCAGCACCUUACACUUCUCAACAUUGAAGGCCGUCCAGUUUUGGUCUGCCCACCUAGAGAACAUGUCCAAGUCAGCCUGUAUCCCCAGCCUGUCCUGCGGUGUGACUGCCCUCACCCAUAAAUUGGUGUCAUCCAUGAACUUUGCAAGUUUGCAUCUGACUCAUGACUCCAGAUCAUUAAUGAAGAUGUUAAAGAGUACCAGCCCAAGUACUGAGCCCUGAGGGACUCCACUGGUCACCCUGCACCACGUUUAUUUGCUCCAGUCAACUAGUACUCUUUGGGUUUGACUCCGUAGCCGGUUAUCUAGCCAUUGAACCAUAAGAUGAUCAAGGCCACAAUUCCCCAGCUUAGCCAUGAGGACAUCGUGGGGAAGUAUGUCAAAGGUUUUCUUGAAAUCCAGAUAUGUGACAUCUACACCAUCUCCCUUGUCCCGGGCUCGUGUCACCUGGUCACAGAAGGAGAUGAGGUUGGUCAGGCAAGACCUGCCAGUCACAAAGCUGUGUUGGCUGGCCUUCAGAAACUUGCCUUCUGUUACUCUGGUGUUGAUGGAUCCCUUGGCAAUUUUCUCCAGGAUUUUGCAGGGAUGGAUGUCAGUCUGAUUGGUCUAUAAUUCCCCGGGUCAUCCCUUCUCCCUUUGUUGAAGAUAGGGACCACUUUGGCUCUUUCCCAGUCUUCCAGGACCUCUCCCGAGCACCAUGGGUUUUUGAAUAUCUUUGCCAAGGGGGAUGCAAUGAUGUCUGCCAGGUCCUUCAAGACUCUUGGGUGCAUUCUGUCUGGGCCAGCUGACUUGUGAAUGUUCCUCACCUGAUACACAUCAAUGUUGGGCCCGCCACCCACUCCCAGGCUGGUUUGUGUCCUUUCUGAUAGUGUGAUCCCCUUGGGAGUGUGAAAAACCAAUGUGAAAAGGUCAUUUAGGAGAUUGGCCUUUUCUUGGGCGUCGGAUGUCAGCCGCCCAGUUUGACCUUGCAGGGGUCCAAUGCUAUCUUUAUUCAAUUUUCAACUUCACACAUAUCUGAAGAAGGACUUUUUGUUGUCCUUGAUCCCUGUAGUUAGCCUGAGUUCAGUUUGUGCCUUGGCUUUUCUGAACCUCUCCCUAUAGGUGUGGGUGAGUGCUGAGUAGUCCUCUUUGGUGAUGCCUCCCGUUUUCCAACUGGAGUAGGCUUCUCUUUUGAGCUUAAUGAGAUCCAAAUUACACUUUGCAUCUUAAUUACAGUUAAUCUUAAUUAUAGUUCAAGAAUAUAUUUGACUAGGAAAGGAAAAAAUGCUAAAUCAACCCCUGUGCUUUUGAAGACAAAGAAAAUACAGAACCUGGAUAUUAAAAGUGAAAUUACUCUCUGCUGUGGUUAUAGUGGAGUGACUAGUGCUAUAGGAUUUUAGCAUGAAAGAAGUUUAGGCAAAUUUUCUUAGAACAAGCUGUCUUCAUCCUCCAUGUGAGUCCAAAGGGCAUGAUACAGUUAUUAAUCUUUCUCAUGUUGCAGCCAGUUGGGUUAAAAAAAGAAAGCCAGAGUUGCUUGUGCACUCCGAAGAAGAUAUGUGCUCAGUGAACAGUGUGAUCUCUUGGUGUAAGGGAGGAGGGCCGUCUUCAGGGGUGUUUUUCUCUUUGACUUAGGAAACAUUCAGCUUUUGAACAUAUUUGCUGGGGUCUCUAAUAUGAAGUGAAGGGCAAGGGCCUUGUUACACAUUGCACUUUAUGCUGCUCAAAUGUUGAUUGGUGCUAGUGCUUUCUCAAGCUUGGAGCAUUGGCACCUUUUAGGGCCUUGUUAUGUGUUUAUUUUGGGUGGCUCCUGGAGCUCCUAACCCCUAGAUUGUCUUCACAUUAACACCUUUAAGUGGCUUAAAACGCUUAUUAUGUGACUUAAAUAUAUGGCACUCCAGGGCAGGCUUAUCUCUUGAUGCACAUAAACCAGCUCUUGUUCCAUUAAGGUGUGGCCCCUCCACACAGGUGCGCUGCUCAAAUUGAAAGUGUAACUGCAAGCGAGCACUAAGCCGAUCAUAGUUUCAUCGUUUAAUAGUAGCUAGGGUCAGGAGGGACCUGAACAGAUCAUCUAGCCUGACCCCCUGCCACAGGCAGGAAUGAAUGCUGGGUUCACAAGAGCCCAGACAGGUGAUCAUCCAACCUCCUCUUGAAUUUGCCCAAGGUAGGGACGAGGACCACUUCCCUGGGAAGUUGGUUCCAGAUUUUGGCCACCCUAACUGUAAAAUACUGCCUUCUGAUCUCUAACCUAAACCUAUUCUCCAUCAGCUUAUUACCAUUGUUCCUCGUGACCCCAGGUGGUGCUGGGGAGAAAAGGGCUCUGCCUAUUUGCUGUUGAUCUCCCUGAUGAGUUUGUAGGCAGCCACCGGGUCCCCCCUCAGCCUCCUCUUGCUGAGGCUGAACAGGUUCAGGUCCCUCAGUCUCUCCUCAUAGGGCCUGUCCUGCUGUUCUCUCACCAAGCGGGUAGCCCUCCUCUGAACCCUCUCCAGGCUGGCCACAUCCCUCUUGAAGUGCAGUGCCCAGUACUGGAUGCAGUACUCCAACUGUGGCCUGACCAAAGUCGCAUAGAGGGGGAGUAUCACCUCUCUGGACUGGCUUGAGAUGCAUCUUUGUAUGCAUGACAAGGUAUGACUGGCCUUGCUGGCUGCGGUCUGGCAUUGGCGGCUCACAUUCACCUUGGAGAUCAACACUUGUGCAGAUCACAGUGUAACAUGUAACAAGGCCCUGAGCCUAAAAACUCUCUCUGACUGUCCCUUGCCUGGACAGCUGUGACUUGGCACUAGACAGCUGGUGAGCAGGGGCCUGACUAGAAGCUACAGUGGUGAGUUGCCACUGCAGAGCUGGUGGGCCAGGACAGGUUUCUAUCCCUGCUCUAGGUUGGGGUGUGUGAGAGAUGGAGUGGGGGUAGGAACAUGAACUUUGGAAGCACAGAGUUGAUGGGAUGGGGUGCGUAAUACUAUGGGAGCGGGAAAGGAAAUGGGGGUGGGGGAAGGGUGGUGAAAUUAAAAAAGUCAGCCACUGAAAAAUAAAAUAAAUAGUAGUACAAAAAUAAAUAAAAAACUGAAGAGAAAAUAAAGUAAAGAAGGUCCCAUGUUUUAAUAAACUUGGAUUGUGGGGUGGGGUAGCUUCUUGUGUUUCCCAAGGUGCCAAGGAUGUGGUAGUAGUGAGGGAAGGCACAUUUGGGAUUGCUUUUGGCCCUACCCUGGAAGGGAAGCCCCAGCUCAUAGGGACUCAAUCUGGCCUCCUACCUUGUUCCCCCUAUACCCUGCCAGACCCCACUCUUGGCUAACUGGCAUGUGCUGUGCAGACUGCUUGCAUGGGGUUGCAACCCUGGAGGUGGGAAGGUCACACCUUUGGGAGCAGGAGGGGGAGCUGACUUGGUGCCAAUACAGCCCCUUGGCAGUAGAGUUCAGGGGAUACAAUGUUUGUACACACAGAAGAAGAGGGUGGAGAAGGGGACAUUGCAUCCUGGGAUGCUGGUGGACUGCAACUUGGGCACCUCAUCUGUGGGGAGUGGCCACACAUAAUGGAACACGAGCUGGGUAUCAUGAAUUGGAGAUAAACCUGUCCUCAAGUGGUGUAACCUUCAGCUGCCUAAAGCACGCUUAAAAAUAAUUUCAGUUGUUAGUAUAUGGACACUCCAGGAGUUAAGAGCUCCAGCAGCCAUCUAAAAUUAAUGUGCAACAGGGCCCCAAAAGCACUCUUUCUACAGCAUAAGCACUCUUUUAUUCCCUCCCUUUUAUUUAUCUAGUUCAAUACUGAGUCAAAGUCCAUGGAAGUCAGGGCACUCUGUGGACUCGCAGGUAAUGAGCUAUAAAUGCUAUUCACUGCACUUCUGUCAAUAAGACUCUGGAAGCCUCAACUCCCCUGACUUGUACACGUACCUGUUCAUCCUGCAUAGUGGGUGUUACCUGAACAUGUUCGUGUGAUUGAAUACAAUGCUAAGCUUUUAUUCCAUGCACUGGAGCUGGCACUGAUGGUUUCUGUGUUCAGGAUUUUGGUGUAAUGUUUGGUUUUGCUGCUUCUACUUCAUCUACCCUAAAGCUUCCUGUUCUUGUUUUUGACCUAAUAAAUGUGACCAGGAUCUUAAAAGAA
This is a long non-coding RNA of Alligator mississippiensis (American alligator), 12107 nucleotides long. RefSeq lists it as uncharacterized. The record is from RefSeq and is a predicted model, not a curated record. The transcript has 5 exons. NCBI's taxonomy places the organism in Eukaryota, Metazoa, Chordata, Crocodylia, Alligatoridae.